This 58-nucleotide unclassified non-coding RNA is filed under the name Treponema berlinense. RNAcentral describes it as "Small nucleolar RNA U43C". Lineage: Bacteria; Pseudomonadati; Spirochaetota; Spirochaetia; Treponematales; Treponemataceae. The record is from RNAcentral.
AAAAACGUGAUGAAAAUUUAGAGGAAAAAAAAUCCUUCAAAAAUACAGCUCCGUUUUU